UACGUAGGGUGCGAGCGUUAAUCGGAAUUACUGGGCGUAAAGGGUGCGCAGGCGGCGUCGCAAGUCAGGCGUGAAAUCCCCGGGCUUAACCUGGGAAUGGCACUUGAAACUACGAUGCUGGAGUAUGGCAGAGGGAGGUGGAAUUCCACGUGUAGCGGUGAAAUGCGUAGAGAUGUGGAGGAACACCGAUGGCGAAGGCAGCCUCCUGGGCCAAUACUGACGCUCAUGCACGAAAGCGUGGGGAGCAAACAGG
RNAcentral lists this ribosomal RNA (253 nucleotides) under uncultured bacterium. RNAcentral describes it as "partial 16S ribosomal RNA". It matches the Rfam family "Bacterial small subunit ribosomal RNA", at positions 524 to 776 of the family's 1533-position model. RNAcentral also lists the same sequence under 1 other name. The record is from RNAcentral.